Molecule: small nucleolar RNA, 107 nt
Filed under: Gossypium hirsutum (cotton)
Lineage: Eukaryota; Viridiplantae; Streptophyta; Magnoliopsida; Malvales; Malvaceae
Description: Plant small nucleolar RNA R71
Rfam family: Plant small nucleolar RNA R71
About the family: R71 is a member of the C/D box family of snoRNAs containing the C (UGAUGA) and D (CUGA) box motifs. Multiple nearly identical copies of this snoRNA have been identified in Arabidopsis, and it is thought to function as a 2'-O-ribose methylation guide for 18S ribosomal RNA.
Source: Rfam by way of RNAcentral
AUCCCAUGAUAAGGAUAGUUACAAAGUAACUCCUUGAAUUGCUCCCAAGCCUUAUACAAAGACUCGUCAUCCAAUUGUUGGAAAGUUAUGAUCUCUCUCCUUAACUU